Molecule: long non-coding RNA, 1763 nt
Organism: Symphalangus syndactylus (siamang)
Lineage: Eukaryota; Metazoa; Chordata; Mammalia; Primates; Hylobatidae
Source: RefSeq, a predicted model, not a curated record
GCGGUUUCCUAUGUUGCCCAGGCUGGUCUGGAACUCCUGGCCUCAAACAAUCCUCCUACUUCGGCCUCACAAAGCACUGGGAUUAUAGGUGUGGUGCACCUCCAGCAGGAGGUAUCUGGACCCAUUCACCAUCAUGAAAAUGGCACAGGAAAGACCCUCCUCCAUGAUUCAAUCAUCUCCCACCGGGCCCUUCCCACACCACGUGGGAAUUAUGGGAGCUACAAGAUGAGGAAACUGAGACACAGAGAAGCUAAGUUACCCACUCAAGAUCACACAGCUAGUACGCUGGUUCUGCAGCCAGGAUGAGUUUAUAUGAGAAAUCUUCAUCCAAGAUGCUUAGAAGUUUAUCUCUUCAAAGGAUUGCCCUCUUCAGAAACAAGUAAUAGCCUGCUUUGAUGAUGUUUACAAAAUAGCACAUGUCGACAUUUAAGAAGACAAUGGUUUUCAAAGGAACUGGAAACUCCUUUCCUGGAUGGAGAAGGUGGAACUCUAUGGCCACUGAGACUCCUUCUCCCUCAAGAUGCUCUGAUGUCAACAAGUACCUUCUUUGCCUCUGGGAAUUCUCUCCCUUGGAGUAGUAAACCUAUUCCAGGCCUUUCUCUAUCACUGGAAUUGCGUCUGGUCUCAGCAACAAGUUUCAGGAAAAUUAACAUACAUAGGUCCCCAUUCUUUCUCAGGCAGAGGGACAUCCCCAGAGGAUGCAGGACUACUAUCAUGAGAGUGGACUGGUGGCAUUUUUUUUUUUUUUGAGACAGAGUCUUAUUCUGUUGCCCAGGCUGGAGUCCCGUGGCACCAUCUUGGCUCAUUGCAACCUCCGCUUCCCAGGUUUAAAUGAUUCUCCUUCCUCAGCCUCCCAAGUAGCUGGGAUUACAGGCACACGCCACAACACCCGGCUAAUUUUUGUAUUUUUGUAUUUUAGAUGGGGUUUCACCACAUUGGCCAAGCUGGUCUCAAACUCCUGACCUCAGGUAAUCUGCCCACCUCGGCCUCCCAAAGUGCUAGGAUUACAGGCGUGAGCCACCGUGCCUGGCCGAACUGGUGGCUCUAUAAGAAGAGCUUCUCCCACUCUUCCCCGCUCCCGAUCCUUCGGCAUGCCAGAGUUGGGCUUCCAGAGUCUCGUGUGGUCAGUAACCUUGUUACUCAUCCAACUUGUGCUCAAGCAACCUUGGCCCCACUGGAAAGGUUUGUCUUCACCACUGCUGAUGAGGUCAAUCUAGGUGGGAGGCAGUGGCCGUCACCCUGGCUAAGCAUCUGCAAUGUCCUUCUGACCACAGCCCACCACCUCGCCUGCUCAUGAGGCUUCUGCCCUGGACCUCCCAGGCCUGAGCUCUCCUGCCCAUUGUGUGUUCUGGUUUGCAGGAUUAGGCUUCUGCUAUGGUCUCUGCUACGAUUUGCAUAUUUGUCUCCUUAAGAACUCAUGUUGAAACUUGAUCCCCAGUGUGGGACUAUUGAGAGGUGGGGCCUUGUCAAGGUGAUUAGGUCAUGAGGGUGCUACCCUUGAGAAUAGAUUAAUCCAUUAAUCAAUUAAUUAAUAAUUAAUAAAUUAAUGGAUUAAUGGGUUAUGAGAGUGGGACUGGUGGCUUUAUAAGAAGAGAAGAGAUACCUGAGCUAACACACUCAGCCACUCGCCAUGUGAUGCCCUGAGCUGUCUCAGGACUCUGGAGAGAGUCCCCACCAGCAAGAAGGCCCUCACCAGAUGCAGCCCCUCAACCUUGGACUUCCCAGCUUCUGGAACAGUAAGAAAUAAAUAUAAUUUCUUAUAA